This 253-nucleotide ribosomal RNA is filed under the name uncultured bacterium. Its description in RNAcentral is "partial 16S ribosomal RNA". It matches the Rfam family "Bacterial small subunit ribosomal RNA", at positions 524 to 776 of the family's 1533-position model. The record is from RNAcentral.
UACGUAGGGGGCUAGCGUUGCUCGGAAUCACUGGGCGUAAAGCGCACGUAGGCGGAUUGCUAAGUCAGGGGUGAAAUCCUGGAGCUCAACUCCAGAACUGCCUUUGAUACUGAGAAGCUUGAGUCCGGGAGAGGUGAGUGGAACUGCGAGUGUAGAGGUGAAAUUCGUAGAUAUUCGCAAGAACACCAGUGGCGAAGGCGGCUCACUGGCCCGGUACUGACGCUGAGGUGCGAAAGCGUGGGGAGCAAACAGG